UGGGGAAUUUUGGACAAUGGGGGCAACCCUGAUCCAGCAAUGCCGCGUGAGUGAAGAAGGCCUUCGGGUUGUAAAGCUCUUUUGUCAGGGAAGAAAAGGGUACGGCUAAUAUCCGUGCCUCAUGACGGUACCUGAAGAAUAAGCACCGGCUAACUACGUGCCAGCAGCCGCGGUAAUACGUAGGGUGCAAGCGUUAAUCGGAAUUACUGGGCGUAAAGCGUGCGCAGGCGGUUUUGUAAGUCUGUCGUGAAAUCCCCGGGCUUAACCUGGGAAUGGCGAUGGAGACUGCAAGGCUAGAGUUUGGCAGAGGGGGGUAGAAUUCCACGUGUAGCAGUGAAAUGCGUAGAGAUGUGGAGGAACACCGAUGGCGAAGGCAGCCCCCUGGGUCAAGACUGACGCUCAUGCACGAAAGCGUGGGGAGCAAACAG
RNAcentral lists this ribosomal RNA (428 nucleotides) under uncultured bacterium. RNAcentral's name for it is "bacterial SSU rRNA". It matches the Rfam family "Bacterial small subunit ribosomal RNA", at positions 355 to 775 of the family's 1533-position model. The record is from RNAcentral.